CUACGGGCGGCAGCAGUGGGGAAUAUUGGACAAUGGGGGAAACCCUGAUCCAGCAAUGCCGCGUGUGUGAAGAAGGCCUGCGGGUUGUAAAGCACUUUCGGUUGGGAGGACUGCUUCUAGCACUAAUAUUGUUGGAAGUUGACGUUACCUUCAGAAGAAGCACCGGCUAACUCCGUGCCAGCAGCCGCGGUAAUACGGAGGGUGCAAGCGUGAAUCGGAAUUACUGGGCGUGAAAGCGCGCGUAGGCGGCUAGAUCAGUCGGGUGUGAAAGCCCCGGGCUUAACCUGGGAACUGCAUCCGAUACUGUCUAGCUUGAGUACAGGAGAGGAGAGUGGAAUUCCACAUGUAGCGGUGAAAUGCGUAGAUAUGUGGAGGAACACCAAUGGCGAAGGCAGCUCUCUGGCCUGAUACUGACGCUGAGGUGCGAAAGCGUGGGGAGCAAACAGGAUUAGAUACCCCAGUAGUC
This 466-nucleotide ribosomal RNA is filed under the name uncultured bacterium. Its description in RNAcentral is "partial 16S ribosomal RNA". It matches the Rfam family "Bacterial small subunit ribosomal RNA", at positions 339 to 795 of the family's 1533-position model. The record is from RNAcentral.